GAUGAACGCUGGCGGCGUGCCUAAUACAUGCAAGUCGAGCGAACAGACGAGGAGCUUGCUCCUCUGACGUUAGCGGCGGACGGGUGAGUAACACGUGGAUAACCUACCUAUAAGACUGGGAUAACUUCGGGAAACCGGAGCUAAUACCGGAUAAUAUAUUGAACCGCAUGGUUCAAUAGUGAAAGACGGUUUUGCUGUCCCUUAUAGAUGGAUCCGCGCCGCAUUAGCUAGUUGGUAAGGUAACGGCUUACCAAGGCAACGAUGCGUAGCCGACCUGAGAGGGUGAUCGGCCACACUGGAACUGAGACACGGUACAGACUCCUACGGGAGGCAGCAGUAGGGAAUCUUCCGCAAUGGGCGAAAGCUUGACGGAGCAACGCAGCGUGAGUGAUGAAGGUCUUCGGAUCGUAAAACUCUGUUAUUAGGGAAGAACAAAUGUGUAAGUAACUAUGCACGUCUUGACGGUACCUAAUCAGAAAGCCACGGCUAACUACGU
Molecule: ribosomal RNA, 496 nt
Filed under: uncultured bacterium
Lineage: Bacteria
Description: partial 16S ribosomal RNA
Rfam family: Bacterial small subunit ribosomal RNA
Source: RNAcentral